AUGGAUCUCGAAAUCAAGGCUACUAUUGAGGAAGAGAGAGCAAAGACCCAGGAGCUUCUAGCGGAGGAAAGGAGGCAGGCGGCGGGGAGGGAGAGGGAGAUUGAGGAGAGGACGGCUAGGCUUUUGGAGGAGGAGAGGAACCGGAACGACUUGGCUAAUCGGGCCAUAUACGAGCUCUUCGCGUCCAUGUGCGAGAAGAACAGUCAGACCCCUCCGCCGAUGCCAGUCAUUGCUCCGGCGGACACACAUAACUCCCGACAAGCAUCGACGUCUGCCAUUGGCGCGAGCAAGAACCCCGAUCCUCCUCCGUCUUCCACUACCGCGAGCAAGAACCACGAUCCUUCACCCACGGGUUGGCAAUUUGCUUCAGAUCAUGGAAGCUUGGGUUGA
Molecule: ribosomal RNA, 390 nt
Filed under: Triticum aestivum (bread wheat)
Lineage: Eukaryota; Viridiplantae; Streptophyta; Magnoliopsida; Poales; Poaceae
Description: partial small subunit ribosomal RNA
Source: RNAcentral